RNAcentral lists this long non-coding RNA (1745 nucleotides) under Marmota monax (woodchuck). Lineage: Eukaryota; Metazoa; Chordata; Mammalia; Rodentia; Sciuridae. The record is from RNAcentral.
AGGCACAGGUUUUUUUGUUUGUUUUGUUUUUUAUGAAAAAAUACUGGAUCACACUGUAUAUACUCUUUAAUAACUUACUUUUCAAAAUGCAUAUUUAUAUUUUAGAAUAGGUAAUACAUAUAGAGAAACAAAAUUCAAAAAGUACAAAAAGCUCUAUAGUCGGGAGUAACUCUUCCUUCCCUGUCUGCCAACAUCUAGUUUGCCUCUAAUUUCUUGAAUAUCCUUUCAGAGAUACACAUUUUUGAACAUACAUAUAUACUUUUAUCACACACAGUGGUAGCUUAUUGGACACACUUUUUUUUUGCUCCUUUUAUUAUUUCACUGAAUAUAUUCUGAACAUUUUUUAUGUAUGUCUUCCAGACUUUGGAAAUAGCAUCUUCAUUGUAUGGAUGAACCCUCAUUUUGUAAUCAACACCCAAAUUUCAUUUGUUCCCAGGCUUUCUUGUAAAUAAUGGUGCAACAGACAACACUGUAGCUAAAAUUUGCACACCCCUAUGACUAUUUCCUUAGGUUAUAUCCAAGAAGGAAAUUGCUUGGCUAUUUUUAAGAAUUUUGAUACAUAUUGCCAAUUGCCCCCCAGGAAGUGUGUACCAAAACACUGUCCUAUUUGCAAUCUCUGGAGUGUCCUGUUUCCUGCAACCUAACACUGGGUAUUAUCACUAAUCAAAUCUCUACCAAUUUGACAGGCAAAAUAAUAGUAUGUCAAUCUUAUUUUAGCUUUCAUUAUUAGUGAAUAACAUUUUCAUAUGCUGAUUGACCAUUUGUACUUCUUUCUUUGUGAAUUUUCUAUUUAUUUGAUAUUGGUAUGUUUAUUAUCGAUUUGUAAUUUGAAGAAUAUUAUUUUGUCAAGAAAUGCUGCAAAUAUGCUAUCCAAGUGCUUUGCUUUCAAAUUUUGUUUAUGGUGCUUUUUGACAUACAUAAAUUCUUAAUUCUGCAAUUAAUUUGUUCCUCUGUUGCUGGCUUCUCCUGCCUCCAGUUUUUUCUCUCAUUUCUACCAGAGUGACCCUUCUCAGAUGUAAUCUGAUCGUGUCGUUCCAGAGCUUAAAGAUUUUUCAUGGCUUCUCAUCACCUUUAGGAAACGGCAAAUUCCUUAACAUAUAACUAACUCCUUAACAUUUCUUUCAUGUAUUUGCUCCCUCUGACUUUCCCAGGCUCACCUCCUGGCCCUCUUUUCAAGGUAUCCUACAUUUUACUGUCACAUAGUCCUGAACCAUUGAGCUUUUGGGACUUUUUAUGCUGUUCUCUCUGCCUCCUUGUCAUUUCUCACUCCUUCCAUCCUCUCUUUGCCUUGCUAAUUCCUGUAAGUCUUGAUCUGGGUUCACUGGUCCCAAAGCAACACCAGCCUACCUCUGCCCAGCAUGUGCUUCAAAUGAUUGGAAUUUCCUAGUUGGAUUCAUCUCUCCCACCAUACGGAUGCCCCCCAAGGCAGGAACUAUGGUUGAUUGAUCUUUGCAGUCAGAAUGUCCAGCACAGGGGCUGGGGUUGUAUGUAGCUCAGUGGUAGAGCACCUGCCUAGCACAUGUGAGACAGUGGGUUCAAUCCUUAGCACCACAUAAAAAUAAAUAAAUAAAACCAAGGUAUUGUGUCCAUCUAUCACUAAACAAAAAUUUAAACAAAAACAAUGUCCAGUCCAGUGCCUGGCACAUUAUAGGUACUCAAAAGCUAUUGAACAUUGAGCCUGCCACAGAUGAAUAAUGGAUUCAACAGCAAAUGUCACUUGUGGUAAAUGCAGGGCUGGACUAGAU